Molecule: long non-coding RNA, 1218 nt
Filed under: Sus scrofa (pig)
Lineage: Eukaryota; Metazoa; Chordata; Mammalia; Artiodactyla; Suidae
Description: lncRNA (ENSSSCG00030073914.1)
Source: RNAcentral
GGGCACUUUGCAGACCAGUUGAAGAGACAAACAUGUGGCAUGCGAGGUUAAAUAGUAACCCAAGCCGGCAGGUGGUUUAGAAAAAAUGCUGGAGAAGUCGCUGGCGGCCUAGUACGUUAAGGAUCUGGUGGUGUCACUGCUGUGGCUUGGGUUGCUGCUAUGGUGCUGGUUCAAUCCCUGGCCCUGGAAUUUCUGCAUGCUACAGGGAAAUUCCUUGCCACCGGACCGCACCCGCCCUUGAGGACCUCCCCGAUGUCUUUGGGCAGAGAGGAAGCCAGACGGAGCUGGGGACUGUGAAGUGACAAUCCUCAGCCCUGUGUGUGCCGGGAGCCCCCCGAGGGCUGCAGAGGAAGCCUGGUGUGGGCUUGCUGGGGACAGAGCUCUUCUCAGAGGAGGCGGGGACCCGUGGAGUACGUGACUCCUGCCCUUCCAGCCUGCACGCUCCAGUUAGCAGGACAGGGACCCCUCCCCACCCAUCCCCAAUCUUCACAGGCUUCCUGCUCUGCCGGGAGGCCCUGUCACCACGCUCACACGCGCGCGCACACACACACACACACACACACACACACACACACACACACACACUCACCCUUCCCUCCUAGGCACCCCUGAGAGGACCAGCUGCAGCUGGGGGUGGGGGUAGGGAGAGUGCUGCCAGGGUGCUCAGAUCCAGCCUCUUUCUCCCACCGCUGCCUCCCCCCCAGCUGCUGAGCAGCUUCUAGGUUUAAAGCAAAACACCAUGAUUCCCGUCCUCUUCCUGCUGCUCCGCCGGCACAGUGCACAGGGGUUAUUUUUAGCAGGGAUGCAGGGAAGGCACAUUGGUCCUGGACUUUCACUGGGGACAUCUCGACCCCAGGCUAGACACGGCCUGGGGAGGCCGGCGCGGAAAACCCCCCUCCCAGAAAGGGGAAACGGGUGUGUUUUCUGUUCCUUCAAAUCACCAGAACAGGAGUUGCAGAGUCAAGCUUGAGGUUACACUGAUGGGAAGUUCUAGGCUCCAAAGUUCACAGGCUACCCUCUUCCCUGGUCUCUGUGUCCCCGUAAAUCUGGGGAGCAGGAGGUGCCUGGAGUCGUGAGGCGCAGUGCGUGGGUAUUGGGGUCCAAGGAGAGCUGAUCGUUGACAGCCCUGUGGACCACACGCAGGCACCAGGCAUUCUGGGUGGUAUUUAUGCCAGUACUUGCUUUAUAAUUCAUUAAACUGACCGUGUCUGUUCUGUG